RNAcentral lists this long non-coding RNA (203 nucleotides) under Sorghum bicolor (sorghum). RNAcentral describes it as "long non-coding RNA (SBIC_LNC016238)". Lineage: Eukaryota; Viridiplantae; Streptophyta; Magnoliopsida; Poales; Poaceae. The record is from RNAcentral.
UAGCGACUAGAUGCUAGGGCUCUAGAGCUAGUCCUUCUCCUUUUGUGUUGUAUGUUGCAUGGCAUGUCGUGUACUUUGGAUCUGAGCUAUGUAAGACCUUACGAGUUAUGUUGAAAGUCCAGUGUAUGUAUGCUGGCAAAUUGGAUGUACGCGAACCUUGUUGCGUGAAUGUUAAGUAAUCUGUUAGUGAUGUUGUGCGUGGA